Molecule: non-coding RNA, 117 nt
Filed under: Chlorocebus sabaeus (green monkey)
Lineage: Eukaryota; Metazoa; Chordata; Mammalia; Primates; Cercopithecidae
Source: Rfam by way of RNAcentral
GCCGGGCAUGAUGGCUCAUGCCUGUAAUCCCAGCACUUUGGGAGGCUGAGGUGGGUGGAUCACCUGAGGUCAGGAGUUCGAGACCAGCCUGACCAACAUGGUGAAACCCUGUCUCCA